AAUAUUGGUCAAUGGGGGCAACCCUGAACCAGCCAAGUCGCGUGAAGGAUGAAGGUCUUAUGGAUUGUAAACUUCUUUUAUACAGGAAUAAAUUGGGGGACGGGUCCCCUUUUGCAUGUACUGUAUGAAUAAGGAUCGGCUAACUCCGUGCCAGCAGCCGCGGUAAUACGGAGGAUCCGAGCGUUAUCCGGAUUCAUUGGGUUUAAAGGGUGCGCAGGCGGGAUGUUAAGUCGGCGGUGAAAUUUUGCAGCUCAACUGUAAAAGUGCCUUCGGUACUGGCUUUCUUAAGUGUGGAUUAAGUAGGCGGAAUUUGUGGUGUAGCGGUGAAAUUCUUAGAUAUCACGAGGUCCUCCGAUUGCGCAGGCAGCUUACUAAGCCACAACUGACGCUCAUGCACGAAGGC
RNAcentral lists this ribosomal RNA (403 nucleotides) under uncultured bacterium. RNAcentral describes it as "bacterial SSU rRNA". It matches the Rfam family "Bacterial small subunit ribosomal RNA", at positions 360 to 760 of the family's 1533-position model. The record is from RNAcentral.